This 687-nucleotide ribosomal RNA is filed under the name uncultured bacterium. RNAcentral describes it as "bacterial SSU rRNA". It matches the Rfam family "Bacterial small subunit ribosomal RNA", at positions 790 to 1482 of the family's 1533-position model. The record is from RNAcentral.
GUAGUCCACGCCCUAAACGAUGUCUACUAGUUGUCGGGUCUUAAUUGACUUGGUAACGCAGCUAACGCGUGAAGUAGACCGCCUGGGGAGUACGGUCGCAAGAUUAAAACUCAAAGGAAUUGACGGGGACCCGCACAAGCGGUGGAUGAUGUGGAUUAAUUCGAUGCAACGCGAAAAACCUUACCUACCCUUGACAUGGAUGGAAUCCCGGAGAGAUUUGGGAGUGCCCGAAAGGGAACCAUCACACAGGUGCUGCAUGGCUGUCGUCAGCUCGUGUCGUGAGAUGUUGGGUUAAGUCCCGCAACGAGCGCAACCCUUGUCAUUAGUUGCUACGAAAGGGCACUCUAAUGAGACUGCCGGUGACAAACCGGAGGAAGGUGGGGAUGACGUCAGGUCAUCAUGGCCCUUAUGGGUAGGGCUACACACGUCAUACAAUGGCCGGGACAGAGGGCUGCCAACCCGCGAGGGGGAGCUAAUCCCAGAAACCCGGUCGUAGUCCGGAUCGCAGUCUGCAACUCGACUGCGUGAAGUCGGAAUCGCUAGUAAUCGCGGAUCAGCUUGCCACGGUGAAUACGUUCCCGGGUCUUGUACACACCGCCCGUCACACCAUGGGAGCGGGUUCUGCCAGAAGUAGUUAGCCUAACCGCAAGGAGGGCGAUUACCACGGCAGGGUUCGUGACUGGGGUG